CAGCCGCCGCGGUAAAACGAAGGGGGCUAGCGUUGCUCGGAAUUACUGGGCGUAAAGGGCGCGUAGGCGGACAUUUAAGUCAGAGGUGAAAGCCCAGGGCUCAACCUUGGAAUUGCCUUUGAUACUGGAUGUCUUGAGUUCGGGAGAGGUGAGUGGAAUGCCGAGUGUAGAGGUGAAAUUCGUAGAUAUUCGGCGGAACACCAGUGGCGAAGGCGACUCACUGGCCCGAUACUGACGCUGUGGCGCGAAAGCGUGGGGAGCAAACAGGAUUAGAUACCCCUGUAGUCCCUGUCUCUUAUAC
Molecule: ribosomal RNA, 301 nt
Filed under: uncultured bacterium
Lineage: Bacteria
Description: partial 16S ribosomal RNA
Rfam family: Bacterial small subunit ribosomal RNA
Source: RNAcentral